ACCGUGGAGGUGUUCCCGGUACGCAGGAGAGGUGGAUAAGGGGCCUUUCGCGUCGUGCAGGAUGGAUGGGAACAUGCAAAACUAAGCCCUCUUUCCCCGAGGACUGAAAUCUUUCCCGGGAGCCAAAACUCUAAACCCACGGGAGAGGCUCUGUCAGAAUAUGACGCUCAUGGGGCGUAGCUUUUACCAUAUAUGGAGCUCUGACUGUUCCUGUCAUACUUUGGCGCUAUACUAUACGAGUAUAGCAUAGAAGCAACCUGAGAACACUCGCUCUACUUUCCUCUUGCAAUGUGAUCCUUACGAUGCACCCAACUCUGUGUCCUCUGUACCUGCGUCUCUUUCUCUUGCCAAUAACGGGGAUGUUGGCCUUGUCGGGUGUUCGCAGUAUAUCCUGUGCUUCCUGCUUGUUGAAGAAAACAUCUUUGUCUAAUCCGAGGAGAGUUCUGCCGCUAAAGGGAAGGAUAAGAGCACAAGGCGCCACGGGUAUAAGGUUCCCCUGAGCAACGAUGAAAGUUUCAACCUGCGGCACAUGGGUGUAACUUUAACUGGAAUAAUGUGGAUCAAAGACUGACAAACAAAGCGGGUGGAAAUGCUGGAGUAGUGUCUGUGUUCGAGUAAAGGACGUUCACCAGAGAGGGACAGCGUUUAUGAAACGCAGACAAAGAAACUGUAAUUCAUUACUGAGAUAGUGUGUUUGUGCUCCCGAAGCUACUGAAUUAAAUGAUCAACAUUAUUAACACUGUAUAACAUCUGUGACAUAUUUACAUUGGUGUUAUUUACAUUAUUUAUUUAAGUAAGUCGGUGGCAAAUUAACAGUGCAACUUAUUGUACUUUAUAGAAAAUAUUCAAGUUCGAACUCCUGCAGCCUCAGAUGUAUCAAAGCUGCAUUUAUUCAAUAAACAACUAUUCAAAAUAAGUGUUUGUUCCUUGAAAUCCUGUCAGAAAUGUGGUCUAGAAAUCCGUGGCAUACUUGAACUCAUCAGAGGGGACCAGUUCUAUGUGGAAGUGUAACCUUUACACUGCAAUUGAACUUCCACAUACACAUGUUAUGAAAGGUCCCAGUGGCCCCCUGGUCUUCUGACAUUGAUUUGAAGACUUGCUACUUUAUUAUGUACUAAGCCCUUUAAACGUGUCCUAUACUGUGGCAUGUUAUGAGCCAAUGCUUCAUUGUCCAGCUUUAUUGAGAGUCGGUGUACGCACAGUCUCCACCAUUUCCCCAGAGUGAGGUCAUGGUUGUAGGAAGGAGAGACGAUCCAAGUGCAAUUUUGUCUCUCUUAUCUGUUGUUAUAACAGAAGGAUUCCAAUAAGCCAGGGAAUGGCCUAUUCAGGUGUUAUUCAUAAAAAAAUGUAAGCAAAGAUAU
Long non-coding RNA from Oncorhynchus gorbuscha (pink salmon), 1361 nucleotides. RefSeq lists it as uncharacterized. The record is from RefSeq and is a predicted model, not a curated record. The transcript has 3 exons. Lineage: Eukaryota; Metazoa; Chordata; Actinopteri; Salmoniformes; Salmonidae.